RNAcentral lists this ribosomal RNA (468 nucleotides) under uncultured bacterium. RNAcentral describes it as "partial 16S ribosomal RNA". It matches the Rfam family "Bacterial small subunit ribosomal RNA", at positions 28 to 507 of the family's 1533-position model. The record is from RNAcentral.
GACGAACGCUGGCGGCGUGCUUAACACAUGCAAGUCGAACGGAAAGGCCCUGCUUUUGUGGGGUGCUCGAGUGGCGAACGGGUGAGUAACACGUGAGUAACCUGCCCUUGACUUUGGGAUAACUUCAGGAAACUGGGGCUAAUACCGGAUAGGAGCUCCUGCUGCAUGGUGGGGGUUGGAAAGUUUCGGCGGUUGGGGAUGGACUCGCGGCUUAUCAGCUUGUUGGUGGGGUAGUGGCUUACCAAGGCUUUGACGGGUAGCCGGCCUGAGCGGGUGACCGGCCACAUUGGGACUGAGAUGCGGCCCAGACUCCUACGGGAGGCAGCAGUGGGGAAUAUUGCACAAUGGGCGGAAGCCUGAUGCAGCAACGCCGCGUGCGGGAUGACGGCCUUCGUGUUGUAAACCGCUUUCGCCUGUGACGAAGCGUGAGUGACGGUAAUGGGUAAAGAAGCACCGGCUAACUACGUG